RNAcentral lists this ribosomal RNA (443 nucleotides) under uncultured bacterium. RNAcentral's name for it is "partial 16S ribosomal RNA". It matches the Rfam family "Bacterial small subunit ribosomal RNA", at positions 338 to 795 of the family's 1533-position model. The record is from RNAcentral.
CCUACGGGAGGCAGCAGUGGGGAAUAUUGGUCAAUGGUCGCAAGCCUGACCCAGCAACGCCGCGUGAGGGAAGAAGGCUUUCGGUAUGUAAACUUCUUUUCUGCGGGACUCAGAAAGUGACGGUACCUCAGGAAUAAGCCACGCCUAACUACGUGCCAGCAGCCGCGGUAAUACGUAGGUGGCAAGCGUUAUCCGGAUUUAUUGGGUGUAAAGGGCGUGUAGGCGGGAAAGCAAGGCAGAUGUGAAAACUCAGGGCUCAAACCUGAGCCUGCAUUUGAAACUGUUUUUCUUGAGUGCUGGAGAGGCAAUCGGAAUUCGGGGUGUAGCGGUGAAAUGCGUAGAUAUACGGAGGAACACCAGUGGCGAAGGCGGAUUGCUGGACAGUAACUGACGCUGAGGCGCGAAAGCGUGGGGAGCAAACAGGAUUAGAUACCCGAGUAGUC